This 27-nucleotide small RNA is filed under the name Bombyx mori (domestic silkworm). RNAcentral describes it as "ovarian small RNA-35365". Lineage: Eukaryota; Metazoa; Arthropoda; Insecta; Lepidoptera; Bombycidae. The record is from RNAcentral.
UGUAAUCAAAUUCUUCAAGGAGGAGGA